UCACUGCUGAGGAGUUCCACAAUAAAACGAAACGGCCGUCCAGUGC
Non-coding RNA from Schistosoma rodhaini, 46 nucleotides. Lineage: Eukaryota; Metazoa; Platyhelminthes; Trematoda; Strigeidida; Schistosomatidae. The record is from Rfam.